AACGAACGCUGGCGGCAGGCCUAACACAUGCAAGUCGAGCGAGGACUUCGGUCCUAGCGGCGGACGGGUGAGUAACGCGUGGGAACGUGCCCCUUGGUACGGAAUGGCCCCGGGAAACUGGGAGUAAUACCGUAUGAGCUCUAGGGAGGAAAGAUUUAUCGCCAAGGGGUCGGCCCGCGUUGGAUUAGGUAGUUGGUGGGGUAAUGGCCUACCAAGCCGACGAUCCAUAGCUGGUUUGAGAGGAUGAUCAGCCAGACUGUGACUGAGACACGGCCCAGACGCCUACGGGAGGCAGCAGUGGAGAAUCUUAGACAAUGGGCGCAAGCCUGAUCUAGCCAUGCCGCGUGAGCGAUGAAGGCCUUAGGGUUGUAAAGCUCUUUCAGCUGGGAAGAUAAUGACUGUACCAGCAGAAGAAGCCCCGGCUAACUCCGUGCCAGCCGCCGCGGUAA
Molecule: ribosomal RNA, 449 nt
Filed under: uncultured bacterium
Lineage: Bacteria
Description: partial 16S ribosomal RNA
Rfam family: Bacterial small subunit ribosomal RNA
Source: RNAcentral